UAGGUUGUCUCCUUACCCCUCUAUCUCUAGCUGUGAGAAAUGAUGUUCCUGGAGGCUGAGGUGUUCGGUAACAGAUGAGGACCGCAGAGGGCAGGAACCCAGCCCCUUAGGCUCACUAAUCCACGUGUCUUUCAGGGCCAGUUUUCUCCACCCCAUAUGGAUUUCCACCAGGAUGGGUGGGAGAAGCUCCAGUAACAAUCAACUUCCAUGAGGGGAAUGCUCCAGUUUCCUCUUCCAAACACCCGGAGGAGUUUUUGGUGGUGUAGGAUCCACCAUUCCAGGUGUGCACAGAUGAAGACCAGUAAAGAAACAUCAGUCUCACCCCUUGGUUUCUUAUCCAUGUCUUCAGAGGAGGACCAGAGAGCUAAGGGGAGAUGAGGAAAAGAGUGCCCAAAGAAUGGAUUAGGUCACAAUGGACCUCUUGGGUUCUCCGGAUAUUGACUGUGCAGCGUGGAUACCGACGGGAUUUCUCUCCAGCCCUCUCCAGAGACUGAGCUAGGAAUAAUACCUUGCCCACAAUCCAACAGUGCCAUUCCCUUGAGACUAAAUAUUAUAUUUCCAGGUGCUGUCUGCGGUCUCCUCUAGAAGUGAUGGGUUGGUGUGGGCUAUGUGUGUGCAUCAUGCGGUUGACUUUAGGAUGUGAGGGUGCUGUUCAUUCAUUGAAUCAU
Long non-coding RNA from Ornithorhynchus anatinus (platypus), 668 nucleotides. RefSeq lists it as uncharacterized. Lineage: Eukaryota; Metazoa; Chordata; Mammalia; Monotremata; Ornithorhynchidae. The record is from RefSeq and is a predicted model, not a curated record. The transcript has 3 exons.